UUGGAGGGCAAGUCUGGUGCCAGCAGCCGCGGUAAUUCCAGCUCCAAUAGCGUAUAUUAAAGUUGUUGCAGUUAAAAAGCUCGUAGUUGAAUUUCGAGAUCAGUACGCUGGUCGUGCCUUCGGUAUGCACUGGUGUCACUGGUUUCUCCCUUCUGAAGAACCGUCAUGCCAUUCAGUUGGUGUGGCGGGGAAUCAGGACUGUUACUUUGAAAAAAUUAGAGUGUUUAAAGCAGGC
This 235-nucleotide ribosomal RNA is filed under the name uncultured fungus. RNAcentral's name for it is "partial 18S ribosomal RNA". It matches the Rfam family "Eukaryotic small subunit ribosomal RNA", at positions 548 to 785 of the family's 1831-position model. The record is from RNAcentral. Lineage: Eukaryota; Fungi.